This 301-nucleotide ribosomal RNA is filed under the name uncultured bacterium. RNAcentral describes it as "partial 16S ribosomal RNA". It matches the Rfam family "Bacterial small subunit ribosomal RNA", at positions 509 to 807 of the family's 1533-position model. The record is from RNAcentral.
CAGCCGCCACGGUAAUACGUAGGGGGCAAGCGUUAUCCGGAUUUACUGGGUGUAAAGGGAGCGCAGACGGCAGUGCAAGUCUGAAGUGAAAGGCGUGGGCUCAACCCAUGAACUGCUUUGGAAACUGUAUAGCUUGAGUGUCGGAGGGGUAAGCGGAAUUCCUAGUGUAGCGGUGAAAUGCGUAGAUAUUAGGAGGAACACCGGAGGCGAAGGCGGCUUACUGGACGACAACUGACGUUGAGGCUCGAAGGCGUGGGGAGCAAACAGGAUUAGAUACCCGAGUAGUCCCUGUCUCUUAUAC